AGCGAACGUUUGCGGCGGGCCUAACACAUGCAAGUCGAACGCACUAGCAAUAGUGAGUGGCGCACGGGUGCGUAACACGUGGGUAAUCAACCCUUCAGCCUGGGAUAACGACUCGAAAGGGUCGCUAAUACCGGAUACGGCGCGAGAGGCUUCGGCUUCUCACGAGAAAGCCACGCAAGGGGGCACUGAAGGACGAGCCUGCGGCCCAUCAGCUAGUUGGUGAGGUAAGAGCUCACCAAGGCUAAGACGGGUAGCUGGUCUGAGAGGAUGAUCAGCCACACUGGAACUGAGACACGGUCCAGACUCCUACGGGAGGCAGCAGUGGGGAAUAUUGCGCAAUGGGCGAAAGCCUGACGCAGCCACGCCGCGUGAGCGAUGAAGGCCUUGGUCGUAAGACUCUGUGGGAGAGACGAAGAAAGACCUGUGAAGAGCAGGCCUUGACGGUAGU
Molecule: ribosomal RNA, 448 nt
Filed under: uncultured bacterium
Lineage: Bacteria
Description: bacterial SSU rRNA
Rfam family: Bacterial small subunit ribosomal RNA
Source: RNAcentral